UGCAGUCGNNCGGGGUCCUUCGGGACCUAGUGGCGCACGGGUGAGUAAUGCAUGGGUAAUCUGCCCUGAAGUGGGGGAUAACUACGGGAAACCGUAGCUAAUACCGCAUAUGUAGGAAACUACAAAGGAGGGGAUCGCAAGACCUUUCGCUUUAGGAUGAGCUCAUGUCCCAUUAGUUUGUUGGGGGGGUAACGGCCCACCAAGACGAAGAUGGGUAGCUGGUCUGAGAGGACGACCAGCCACACUGGAACUGAGACACGGUCCAGACUCCUACGGGAGGCAGCAGUGGGGAAUAUUGCGCAAUGGGGGAAACCCUGACGCAGCAACGCCGCGUGGAUGAUGAAGGCUCUUGGGUCGUAAAAUCCUUUCGAUUGGGAAAUAGGGUCAUUUGGCUAAUAUCCAAGUGAUUUGAUGGUACCUAAAGAAGAAGCACCGGCUAACUUCGUGCCAGCAGCCGCGGUAAUACGAAGGGUGCGAGCGUUGUUCGGAAUCACUGGGCGUAAAGAGUUCGUAGGCGGGAAUGUAAGUUAAGUGUGAAAUCCCUGGGCUCAACCUAGGACGUGCAUUUAAAACUACUUUUCUUGAGUACUGGAGGGGGUUGUGGAAUUGCUGGUGUAGGAGUGACAUCCGUAGAGAUCAGCAGGAACACCGGANGCGAANGCGACAACCUGGNCAGAUACUGACGCUGANGAACGAAAGCGUGGGGAGCAAACAGGANUAGAUACCCUGGUAGUCCACGCCGUAAACGAUGAUGACUAGACGUNNNUGGUAUUGACCCCGUCGGUGUCGCANUUCACGCAUUAA
RNAcentral lists this ribosomal RNA (804 nucleotides) under uncultured bacterium. Its description in RNAcentral is "bacterial SSU rRNA". It matches the Rfam family "Bacterial small subunit ribosomal RNA", at positions 56 to 863 of the family's 1533-position model. The record is from RNAcentral.